AUACGGAGGUGGCAAGCGUUGUUCGGAUUUACUGGGUGUAAAGGUCAUGUAGGCGUCUUAUUAAGUCGGAUGUGAAAUCCCUUGGCUCAACCAAGGAACUGCACUCGAUACUGGUAAGAUUGAGUACGGGAGAGGUAAGCGGAAUUCCGGAAGUAAGGGUGAAAUCUGUAGAUAUCCGGAAGAACACCAUUAGCGAAGGCGGCUUACUGGUCCGAUACUGACGCUGAAAUGAGAAAGCUAGGGGAGCGAACAGGAUUAGAAACCCCGGUAGUCC
RNAcentral lists this ribosomal RNA (274 nucleotides) under uncultured bacterium. Its description in RNAcentral is "partial 16S ribosomal RNA". It matches the Rfam family "Bacterial small subunit ribosomal RNA", at positions 523 to 796 of the family's 1533-position model. The record is from RNAcentral.